RNAcentral lists this ribosomal RNA (497 nucleotides) under uncultured bacterium. Its description in RNAcentral is "partial 16S ribosomal RNA". It matches the Rfam family "Bacterial small subunit ribosomal RNA", at positions 28 to 507 of the family's 1533-position model. The record is from RNAcentral.
GAUGAACGCUGGCGGCGUGCCUAAUACAUGCAAGUCGAGCGAACAGAUAAGGAGCUUGCUCCUUUGACGUUAGCGGCGGACGGGUGAGUAACACGUGGGUAACCUACCUAUAAGACUGGGAUAACUUCGGGAAACCGGCGCUAAUACCGGAUAACAUUUGGAACCGCAUGGUUCUAAAGUGAAAGAUGGUUUUGCUAUCACUUAUAGAUGGACCCGCGCCGUAUUAGCUAGUUGGUAAGGUAAAGGCUUACCAAGGCAACGAUACGUAGCCGACCUGAUAGGGGGAUCGGCCACACGGGAACUGAGACACGGUCCAGACUCCUACGGGAGGCAGCAGUAGGGAAUCUUCCGCAAUGGGCGAAAGCCUGACGGAGCAACGCCGCGUGAGUGAUGAAGGGUUUCGGCUCGUAAAACUCUGUUAUUAGGGAAGAACAAACGUGUAAGUAACUGUGCACGUCGUGACGGUACCUAAUCAGAAAGCCACGGCUAACUACGUG